Molecule: long non-coding RNA, 6681 nt
Organism: Leptopilina boulardi
Lineage: Eukaryota; Metazoa; Arthropoda; Insecta; Hymenoptera; Figitidae
Exons: 4
Source: RefSeq, a predicted model, not a curated record
AGAAAAUCGACUUUAGAUAGUUUCAAAUAAUAUUAUAUACUGCAAUCAAAUUCAUACGCCAGUUAGUGUAAAUAAAACUCUUAUCGUCACAAUGUUAUGAUUGACUAUAUGUAUAUUUGUAGAUAUAAAAGCAGACAUUUUCCAUACCAAUAAACUUGCUGUGAUUAUAAUACGUUAAUAUGGAUUUUUUUCUUAAAGUAUAAUCAUUUUUAUGUCAGCAGGAUUUAAUAUUAAAAACUUAGAUUAAAUCUAUUAUAAUUAUUAAUACUUUGUUAUUUCCAUAAUACUAAUCCGGUAGGAAGAGAGGAUAAAAGAAAGAUUGAAAGUUUGCAAAAAUUAUGUCUGUUAAAUUCAAAACGCAUCUUUAUAAGAAAAAGCAAAUUAUAAAUUGGUGAGUAUUUUUUUUUAAUAAAUAUAAAAAUUAUCGAAAUCCGCUUUAUCAUUAGGCGAAGGGGAUCUAUGUAACCUCAACUUUGUGAUAAGUAUAUAUGAGAAAAGAGAAUUUUCCAAAAAUUCGUCGUCGGCUUGAGUCACAGUCGAUAUAUACAGUCGGGAAUUUUCAAAUUAAUAAAUAAUUAUCUAUAUAUUAUAUGCAAAUUUGUUGGAAUUGUGGCCAUUGGUCUUAUUAUUAAAAAUAUGUAUAAUUACAUGAUUUUUUGUUGUAAUAUAAAAACACUUUCAAAUUUUUUUUUAUCUUACCCAUAUGGGUCUUAAAGUAUACGAUUUAAAAUUUGCUUCAUUUUUUUCAUUUCGUAAUUACAUAAAAAAUGAAAUAAUAGAAAUUAUAUUUUCACUAUACAAUAAGUUCUUUUCAAAAAUAAAUAAUUAUUAUUGUCUAACUGCGAAAAACAAUUUAAUUUCUAGACACCAUUUUUUGCGGCCAGGGAAAAAUGGAUAUUCCGUAAGCGGACGCAGGUUUAUGCCUUGUUAGAUGGACGCAAGAUUGUUAUAUAAAAAAUUGGAGAGUUUUCACAAGUUGUGUAGAAAAUACUAAUCUUAAAAAAAAAGACAAGAGAAAAUUUUUUUGAGGAGGUGAGUGUUACGUAUGAAUUUCGUAACUUCUUAUUAAUAAAUUAUUAACAUUAUUAAUAAUUCAUUAAUACAAUACUUUAAAAAGAGGGACACAAAUAUGCAACUCAAGCAAAUAACACUUUAUAAACAUUACAAGAAAUGCCUUUGGAAUCUCUGAGCGAUGUCCAAAUAAUUAUAUAUUAAAUAUUAACUUUCAAUCAAUAACCUAAAUUAUAAAGAAGACCUAUUUAAAUUCAUGAUAAAAUUGAGAAACUAAGUGAACUAAAUUAACUCAAGUAACAAAGGAUGGCGCAAUAAAGAUUGCUGCAUCCAAAGUAUGUCAGUACAGAAAGAACGGGAAUACUACCCCAAUAUUGCAAGGUUGCAAUAAAGAACAUUGGCAACAAUAAGUUACCAAAUAAAACAUACUUUUUCCCACCAAAGAUCAGCUCAAUAAAACCAGUAGACACAGGGAGUGUCAGUUAGUUAGGAGUCGAGUGAGCUCAGAGUGGAGCUUGGAGUUUGUGAGAGUUUUGAGUUGGAGUUUUGAGUCUCUGAGUUGAGAGACUUUUUGAAACAAACCUCUAGUUCGAGGUUGUUUCCAUUUGGAGUUUUAUUGAGUUUUAUCUGAGUUUGAUUUUUGAGUUGAGAUUAUUUAAAGUAUUUAUUUUUGAAUUGAGAUUUUUGACAAAAAGAGUAUUUAAUAUUGAAUUGUGAAUUGAUUUAAGAAUAUUGAGUUUUACAAAGAAUUGAUAAUUGAAGUAGUUGAAUAAAGAGAACCUGAUUUUUGAGUUUGAUUUAAAGAGUAUAUAAAGGAGUUUCUUUUGAGAUCACUUAGUUUUGAGAUUUAGAGUGAAAAUAAAUAGUAAUUGAGUUUAUGUUUUCUAUUGAGUUUUGUUUACCAUUAAUUGAUUGAGUUAAAGAGAAUACUAAAUAAUUGUAAUAAGUUGAAGAAUUGAAUUGAGACACGAGGAAUUCCAAAAGGUAAAUAUACGUAAGAGUUCAGAGACUCUUGACACAAUACACACACAACAUUAUUACACAUACAUACAUUCACACGUAAAUUGUAUUAGAAUACAGAAUACUAUAAUAUUGUAUCAUUUGAGCUAUUACACAAUAUAUAUUUAUAUACUAUUAAUUAAAUAUUUGUUUGAUCUUUUAUUUAAAUCAUUCCUAACCAAUUGUUCUGAUUAAUAUGGAUUCUCAACCAACUCACUGAAUAAUAGUGAGGUAAGGAAGGGAUCCACUACCUUUUACAAUAUAAUUUGUCCGAAGGGCAACGUGUGUUAAAGUACCAAAGUCUUUUAGAGUUUUAGAAAAUAUCAAUCUUUGAUUGAUAUUGAAUAAUUUUCUAAUUUCCAAAAUUCAUCUUUAACAGUGAGUGUUUAUGUCCCACACGUGUGGGACAAUAAAUAAAAUAAUAAUAAAAUUUGAUUCAUUUUUAAAAAACGUUUUGUGAUAAAAAAGUAUUGAAUUUUCCAGAUGAUAGAAUUCAUUUUUCAAAAAUCCUUUUGAUUGAAAAGUAUAAGAAUUUUAGUGGAUGAAUUUGAUUCAUUUUAAAAAAAAUUCUUUUGAUAGAAAAGUAUUAAAUUUUACAGAUAUGAUAGAAUUUGAUUGAUUUUGCAAAAAAUUUUUUGAUUGCAAAGUAUAAGAAUUUUAGUGGAUAGGAUUUGAUUGAAUUUCAAUGUAAUCCUUUUGAUAGAUAAGUAUUACAUCUUUAAGCAGAUAGAAUUUGAUUGAUUUUUUAUAAAAUUCUAUUGAUAGAAAAGUAUUAAAUUUUACAGAUGAUAGAAUUUGAUUCGUUUUUCAAAAAUCCUUUUUAUUAAAAAGUAUAAGAAUUUUUAGUGUAUAGAAUUAUAUUGAAUUUUGAUACAAAAACUUUGAUAGAAAAGUAUUGCAAUUUCAUUUUGUAUUAAUUUUGAUAGAUACUUUUUCAAAAUGUAUGAUAGAGAUGGAUUGGAAUUUUAUCUUCUUAUUGAAAACGAUUGAAAUUUCACAAUUUGAUUAAAAUUGAUUGAAAUUUCAAUUCUUGACAUAUAGAAAGUCUAUCAAAUCCUAUGCUUUUUGUUUGUGUCGAUGUUUAAAUGUCCACAUGAAAAGAAUAUUUACACGAAACUUUGAAGAAAUAUUACACUGUAAAUAUUCACGUGCAAUGUUCAGUUAAUGUUGUGUCAAUAUUCACCUAUUGGGAUCUGAAAUCAUAGGGAAUUAUGGGGAAACUGACCUCGUUGCGUCAGCCAUCUUGAUUUAUUAUCUCUUUCUUCUACAUAUAUUUUAAAAAGGAUGAAACGAGAAAUGGCUGACACAACGAGGUCGUCACCAGAUGGCGUAUCGCAGUAUUUCAGAUCCCAAUACUUAUUAUAUUAGUAAAUGAAAAUUUUAUAACUAGGCGAAAAUGUAAUUUCAAUAUUGACACAACAUUGACUGAACAUUGCACGUAAAUAUUUAUGUGUAAUAUUUCCUCAAAGUUUCGUGUGAAUAUUCUUUUCAUGUGAACAUUUAAACAUCGACACAAACUUGUAUGAACCUUGCCACUAAAGUUUCCUAACCUCGCCAUGUGAGGUUCUGUCAAGUUACAGGGAAUUUUGGGUGCUGUGUGGGGUGAUUAACAUAUGGAAUUAUUAACAUUUCUGGUGUUAUCAAAUUAUAAGUUACAGUUUAAAUACUUCUUUAUAGGUUAAAAGGCGCAUUCUCUUAAAUGAAUAAGUGGAAUUGGUGAACAAAACAUUACAAGAGAAUAAUGCAUCUAUUAUAUUCAUGAAGCUUCACUCCCGGAGGACGAUGCGUUUGAACUGGAAAAUGAAGCUACACUCCCAACACAGAAAAAAACUGAACUCAGAAUGAGCCGUAUAGGCGGCUCAUUUUGAUGUGCAACAAAAAUGAACCAGGUUGGUGGCGCCACUGUCUAUGUCGUUUAGCAUUGGCUCAUUUUGAUUUGCAACAAAAAUGAGACUAGGUUUUUUCUGUGAAAGGGCGAGGCGUUUCAACUGGAAAACGAAGCUGCAUUCCUGGAGAACGAAGAUUUCUUAACAGAAGAAGAAACUGCACUACCUAAAAACCAAACGUUUUUACCGGAAAAAGUUCCAUUUUCUCAGAAUAAAGCAUCAUUUUAAGAUCAACGCGUAAACUGUAAUGUUUUUCCACCAAUACAAAAAAUGCGAGAGGAAGACCAAAACAUUCAUUAACAACACCAAUAGGUCUUCAAAAAAAAAAAAAAUAAAUAAAAUCGAUACAAAAAAAUGUGAUAUUAUUUUUUUCGCAAACGAAUACAAGAAGACAAAAUAAAAUUAUUAAGUCCCGGAAGAAAUUGUUGAAAAAUCCCUACAUGGAAAUAAAACUGAUGAGGAAUUUGUUGAAAUAAUAUCAGAAAGAUUAAGUUUUGCACCAUUAUUAAUGAAGAUGUUGAUGCUAUGCAGCAAGUAAAAAGCAGCACGAAAAAUCUAAUAAUAAAAACAUCUGGUGUGAUUCUUUCUUAGAGCGGAUUCACCAGGUGUGCGUAAAUUUAAAGAAAUCACAAAAGACUGUAAACUGGUUUUGUUCAGAUUGUUUCACAUAAAUGAAAGAUUAUUUUUUGAUGGAAAAUUUAAAUCAGUCUGCUGUGCGAAUUAUUCUAGAUAAUUAUAAAGAUGUAAAGAUCCAUUUUGAAGAAAAAGAACUUCAUUUUUCUGGUUUUAAUCACAGAAACAGUGAAUGACCUUAUUUUCUUAGUAGAGAAAUUAGAUGAAUUGCAUGAAGUGCCCUCGACCAAGGUUAUUAUAAUCUUUCUUCUCAUAUAACACACGAAGUAAGAAUAAGGAGUCUGCACUCCAUGCGUGGAUUGGAGGAAAAAUGUCCCCAAAUCUGGUAAAAGUAUUCCGGAAAAUUAGAAUAGUCGGAGGUGGCGUUCGUAACGGAAAAAUCCUUAAACUAUUGAUUUCCCUAAUGAAAGUCGUCUGCUAUUUUUCAAAAGUAUAUUAUAAAAUCAUAUAAUUCCAUAUUUUUUAAAAAUUAAGUAAUUGAAUAAAUAGUAAAUAUUAAAUAUGAAAUAUUAUUUGUAUUUUAAAAGUCAUUUACAAAUUAAUUAAUUUUAUUAAUUUUAAUGAAGUUCUUUAAAAAUUCACUAACUUUAAACUUCUUUUUAAUACACAUUCUUUAACAAACAAUUAUUGUUUUUUUUGUUUCUACAGUAAUCUGUAUCUAUUUAAUUGUAAAAAAAGUUUCCAUUAAAAUCUCUUAAAAUUGAAUUAAUUCGAUCUAAAAAUCUUGCGAUAUGACUUUUACCAGAUUUGGGGACAUUUUUCCUCCAAUCCACGCAUGGAGUGCAGACUCUUUAUUCUUACUUCGUGAUAUAACAUUAAUUAAAGCGAUUUUUGUGUUAUUUAAGCCAUUAUUAAUUUCUACGGGGUGAAAAUUGCAUUGGUUUUGCAAAGAAAAAAAAGCCAGGUACCUCAGGUCCACAACGCACCGAAAUCGCAGUAAGAAAGAUUUAAAGGAAAAGAAAGUUUAAAAGUCGAGAAUACCAAAUUAAAUACAAAUUUGAAAAUUAAAAUUGAAGCCAAUAAGCGUCUUGUUAAAAAAGGUAAAAAAUGAAAGAUCGUCUGGAAUUAUUACGAAAAACAAUGUGCUGAAAUUGUGGAGGAUAGUUUGGUAAAAGCAAUAGGAAAACUAUCCGCAAAUGAACAAUUGGCAUGAGAUUGGAAUGAGAUACAGUCGCCAGUGGGUUAUAAAUGUAUUCUUUCCAGAAUAAAAAGCACCUCAGAAAGAAGAAGGUGCUUGCAUUGCCUUCAUUUCGAACACUUCAUAGAUGCAUGAAGCGAAUGAAAAGCGCUUUACGGCUUUCAAAGUUAACGUUUUCGAAGCAUUAAAAUUGAAACAGAGAAAAUAAAUUUCAAAGACAGAAACGGAGCUAUUCUUAUCGAUGAAAUGAAGUUAUCGAAAGGCGUUAGCGUACAAGCCUGUCGAAGAAAAUCUCACAAACGCAGAGAAUCGAACUUACAACAUGACGAACGCAAACCGAAUAUCUAAGCCUCUAUCUAGACUAACCUGAGAUCGUAAAAACAGAAUACGGUUUUAUGAAAAUAGAAGAUCUUGUUGAGGCGUAUUUGAUUUUAACGCUUCUGUUACACGCCAAAUUACUAUUGUGUAACUAAUUUGAGGAAAGCUUGUUAGGAUGAAAAAGUAACGUGAAACAAAUUUUUAAUAUUAACAAUGAUGUAUUUAUUUUAAUUGUAUAGAUAUUGAUCUGUUUAUAAACUUCACUUAUUUGUUAUGUAUGUAUGUAAAAUUCGCGACGGAGUUUUCAACAAGAAGUUUGGUUUGAAUUUAAAUAUUUCAUCUUGUACAUUCAAUCGCCGUGGUAGAGGAAAUUUUGGAAAAUAUUUAGAAAGGGAAAAAAGAAGUGUUUUUAUCAUAUUAGAGAAUUUUGAUUGGUUUUUAAACAUUCUAUUGAAAUUUGAAGGGAAGGUAGAGUGGAGGUAGGAAGAUGCUUGGUAGAUGGUCAUCUGACUGCACGUAGCCUUGGGGUAAUUACUACAUUUGCUAAAAUUUGGUUUUUAUGAAUUGUGUCCCUUUUUUAUGAUAUGGUCCAACUUAUCGUAUUGGUACCCGGAUUAAGAUAUAAAGUGUGCAAGUUUAUUGUCAUAAUCCCUUGCUUCAUUCAAACUUUCUUAAAAAUACAUAUUUUCAAACUUU